UACGAAGGGGGCUAGCGUUGCUCGGAAUCACUGGGCGUAAAGGGUGCGUAGGCGGGUCUUUAAGUCAGGGGUGAAAUCCUGGAGCUCAACUCCAGAACUGCCUUUGAUACUGGGGGUCUUGAGUUCGGGAGAGGUGAGUGGAACUGCGAGUGUAGAGGUGAAAUUCGUAGAUAUUCGCAAGAACACCAGUGGUGAAGGCGGCUCACUGGCCCGAUACUGACGCUGAGGCGCGAAAGCGUGGGGAGCAAACAGG
RNAcentral lists this ribosomal RNA (253 nucleotides) under uncultured bacterium. Its description in RNAcentral is "partial 16S ribosomal RNA". It matches the Rfam family "Bacterial small subunit ribosomal RNA", at positions 524 to 776 of the family's 1533-position model. The record is from RNAcentral.